UUCUUGUUGAGCGCUCAGGACCAAGACCUGUGGUUGUUACUUGUUAAAAUCACAGGGUUGUUUGCAAGUUAAUGCAUUACCUUUGUGGGGACAAGCCAGUGCCAUCUGUGAAGGUCUGUAGGAGCUGUGGUUGGGUCCUGCCCCAGCACAGUUUUCACAUGCUGCUUCUCCUGCCUUCAGACAAGUUCUUCUUUGUCACAGUGUUUGGCAUGCACUGAAAUUUCUACAGGAAUUGGAAGGCUGCCUGGCUGUUCAGUUCAGGAGAAGGAAGUUGAGUUACUGCCCCUGACAGACAUCUCUGUCAACUCUUCAGGAUGUCAAUGCUGGUUUGUUUGGUGGGAAAACACCAAAAGUCAACACCAGGAGGGACUGGAAAUAGCACUCAGAUGGUCAGGGGGCACACAGUGGGUCGGGUGGAGGCCCAUGAGAGAGCUGAGCACAGUAAGGAACCAUUUAAUGGAACCAUUUAAUGACUGAGUAACCCCUGCUCCUCUUGGGCUACCAGGAUCCCCCUGGAGCCCUUGCCCACCAGCCAGUAGUGAACACAUCUGUUCUUGGUAGAGAUUUUUCUGUUGAUUUCUCCCAGGCCCAUGUGUGAAACCCCUGCUUUGAGGUUGAGGGUAAUUACUGCUGCACAGCACAGACAUGUGGGGCUGAUUAGUUCCAGGCCAGAUAGGGAGAGGGUGCUGAUGGUUCCCAGGUAGGAAUGGAAACAGGACAGAUGCUUUGCUCCUGGCAAGAGCGUGUUUAGGUUUAGACUCAUUCCAGAGGAAGAUUUGGGUUCCCAAAGAAGAACAGAGGUAAAGUUAGGUCUUGCAGACAAAACUGUAACAUGAAUCUGCUGCUGCCUAACCCCCAGAGUGUCUGGGUUCAAAAUCUGUUUAAGCAUCUGCAGCAGCACUUCUGUGUGCCCAGGGCUGCCCUGCCUUAUUGUCAUCUGGUGACUUCACUUGAAAGUGCUUUGAGCACCACUCAAAAAUGCUCCUGAGGUGUGCAGGUGCCUGUUUCAGCUGCCUGAAGAGAGGCAAAGGCCAUGUUGGUCAUAUCCAAGGAGAAGUGGCAUCCACAAAGGUUUUUUGAGGACUGUGGCUCGGAGCUGAGGUAACCAAGUUCUGCCUCUCUCCUGCUUUUGUGCCUGAGGCUGAUCUGGGUCUCAUCUUCAGCCCAGGAGUGAGGAGCAACUGUCUGUGAUGGUGGCAGGUGAUUGAAGAGGGACCAAGGACCACAGUUACCAAAGAUAUUCCUGUCACAAAGAAUUGGAAAAUUUUUAGUGAUAAGAGGGAAGCACACUAGGUUCCUUGGUGAUGCUAAGUGCUAGGCUGCAGCUCUACCUGUGCAUUAAUGAAACCACUAGUGAAGUUAAACUGAACUGAGUCUCACUGCAGAAGAGCUGGUUAACUUUUAUUUUUUGUUUGUUUUGGUUUGGGGUUUUUUUUUGCCUGCUUUUUUUGUUAUUACUCUCUCUUUCCUUCUUUUU
Molecule: long non-coding RNA, 1477 nt
Filed under: Junco hyemalis (dark-eyed junco)
Lineage: Eukaryota; Metazoa; Chordata; Aves; Passeriformes; Passerellidae
Description: lncRNA (ENSJHYG00000012520.1)
Source: RNAcentral